GACAGAGGGUGCACACGUUGUUCGGAAUUACUGGGCGUAAAGCGUGUGUAGGCGGCUAGGUAAGUCGGAUGUGAAAGCCCCGGGCUCAACUCGGGAAGUGCACUCGAUACUGCUUAGCUCGAGUACCGGAGAGGUUGGUGGAAUUCUCGGUGUAGAGGUGAAAUUCGUAGAUAUCGAGAGGAACACCGGUGGCGAAGGCGGCCAACUGGACGAGUACUGACGCUGAGACACGAAAGCGUGGGGAGCAAACAGG
RNAcentral lists this ribosomal RNA (253 nucleotides) under uncultured bacterium. RNAcentral describes it as "partial 16S ribosomal RNA". It matches the Rfam family "Bacterial small subunit ribosomal RNA", at positions 524 to 776 of the family's 1533-position model. The record is from RNAcentral.